Molecule: ribosomal RNA, 492 nt
Filed under: uncultured bacterium
Lineage: Bacteria
Description: partial 16S ribosomal RNA
Rfam family: Bacterial small subunit ribosomal RNA
Source: RNAcentral
AGUGAACGCUGGCGGUAUGCCUAACACAUGCAAGUCGAACGGCAGCACAGUAAGAGCUUGCUCUUACGGGUGGCGAGUGGCGUACGGGUGAGGAAUACAUCGGAAUCUACUUUUUCGUGGGGGAUAACGUAGGGAAACUUACGCUAAUACCGCAUACGACCUACGGGUGAAAGCAGGGGAUCUUCUGACCUUGCGCGAUUGAAUGAGCCGAUGUCGGAUUAGCUAGUUGGCGGGGUAAAGGCCCACCAAGGCGACGAUCCGUAGCUGGUCUGAGAGGAUGAUCAGCCACACUGGAACUGAGACACGGUCCAGACUCCUACGGGAGGCAGCAGUGGGGAAUAUUGGACAAUGGGCGCAAGCCUGAUCCAGCCAUACCGCGUGGGUGAAGAAGGCCUUCGGGUUGUAAAGCCCUUUUGUUGGGAACGAAAAGCAGCAGGUUAAUACCCCGCUGUUCUGACGGUACCCAAAGAAUAAGCACCGGCUAACUUCGUG